GGGUCGUUAGCUCAGUUGGUAGAGCAGGGGACUUUUAAUCCCAAGGUCAUGGGUUCGACCCCCAUACGACCCACCA
This 76-nucleotide transfer RNA is filed under the name Olsenella sp. Its description in RNAcentral is "tRNA-Lys". It matches the Rfam family "tRNA". Rfam says of the family: Transfer RNA (tRNA) molecules are approximately 80 nucleotides in length. Their secondary structure includes four short double-helical elements and three loops (D, anti-codon, and T loops). The record is from RNAcentral. Lineage: Bacteria; Bacillati; Actinomycetota; Coriobacteriia; Coriobacteriales; Atopobiaceae.